UAAUUAUUUUAAAUUUUAAAUUUUUAAAAUUUUAAAUUAUUUUUAAAAUUAAAAUAUCAAAUUUUAAAUUUUGUAUAAUUUUGAAAUUUAAAAAUUUUAACUGUCAUUCAAAUUUAAAUUUAGAUUUUAAGUUAUUUUAAAAUAAAAUUUAAUAAAAAUAUUAAUUUAUGCAAACAUAAAAAAAAUUUGCCAAACAGAUUUUCAAAAUCAUUUCAGAAAAAUCACUUUUAUCUAAACUACGCCAAACAUUUUACAGCUUUUAACGAAAAUCACUUCUCCAAACCAAAAUCACUUUUUCAGAAAUCACUUUUUUAGAAGCUAGGCCAAAUAGGCCCUAAGGUUGUAUCUUCAUGACCUUUUAUCUCUCAUGUUAAUUGCGGAAGUUAUCGUCCUUCCGAGACAUCGUUGUUAUCCUCAUCGGCAGCGACACGUCAUCGUCAUCACAUUCACCGAUUAUCAUCGUCUUUGCUAGCACAUCGUCAUCGUCACCUUUGCCACCACUUCGUCGUCAUCUUACGCAACAGAACAAUUAUUUUUCUGACAAUUGGAAAGGUAUUUUGGUCCUACUCGAUAUUCUCAAUCUAUACCUAAUUCUUCAUUUUAGUUUCUAAAUUAGAUUUACUAACUAAGUGCACGUGCAAUACAUAUUGCAUAAAAUAUUAAA
This 664-nucleotide long non-coding RNA is filed under the name Ananas comosus (pineapple). RNAcentral describes it as "long non-coding RNA (ACOM_LNC040674)". Lineage: Eukaryota; Viridiplantae; Streptophyta; Magnoliopsida; Poales; Bromeliaceae. The record is from RNAcentral.